GGCUUCCUGGUGCUUACCAUAGGCUGGGUUCCUUACACUGACUAUAAAGAAAGAGGUCAUGGUUUAACCCAACCCACUUGUACCUCAGCCCAAGUCCUUUGCCUGGUCUCCAUUGUGAAUAGAAGGUCAUUG
Sorex fumeus (smoky shrew) is the source of this 132-nucleotide small nucleolar RNA. RefSeq annotates it as small nucleolar RNA SNORA51. The transcript has a single exon. The record is from RefSeq and is a predicted model, not a curated record. NCBI's taxonomy places the organism in Eukaryota, Metazoa, Chordata, Mammalia, Eulipotyphla, Soricidae.